CCCUUUGAUACUCUGGGCGGCACGCGCGCUACAAUGGAUAAUACAACGUGUUACUUAACCGAAAGGUUAUGUAAAUCACAAAUGUUACGUCUUGAAUGGGAUAGUUUAUUGCAACUACAGACUUGAACUAGGAAUCCCUUGUAGGUACACUGAAGCAUAGUGUACCGAAUACGUCCCUGCCGUUUGUACACACCGCCCGUCGUUUCUUCCGACUGAUACUCAUUGUGAAUUACGAGGAUGCGUUAGCAAAAUCGUUGUAAAUGCUGGGUAUUGGAGAAAGAAAAANUCGUANCA
This 294-nucleotide ribosomal RNA is filed under the name uncultured eukaryote. RNAcentral describes it as "partial 18S ribosomal RNA". It matches the Rfam family "Eukaryotic small subunit ribosomal RNA", at positions 1470 to 1796 of the family's 1831-position model. The record is from RNAcentral.